RNAcentral lists this ribosomal RNA (953 nucleotides) under Staphylococcus aureus. Its description in RNAcentral is "partial 23S ribosomal RNA". It matches the Rfam family "Bacterial large subunit ribosomal RNA", at positions 1603 to 2557 of the family's 2925-position model. Lineage: Bacteria; Bacillati; Bacillota; Bacilli; Caryophanales; Staphylococcaceae. The record is from RNAcentral.
CACUGCCGAGAAAAGCCUCUAGAUAGAAAAUAGGUGCCCGUACCGCAAACCGACACAGGUAGUCAAGAUGAGAAUUCUAAGGUGAGCGAGCGAACUCUCGUUAAGGAACUCGGCAAAAUGACCCCGUAACUUCGGGAGAAGGGGUGCUCUUUAGGGUUAACGCCCAGAAGAGCCGCAGUGAAUAGGCCCAAGCGACUGUUUAUCAAAAACACAGGUCUCUGCUAAACCGUAAGGUGAUGUAUAGGGGCUGACGCCUGCCCGGUGCUGGAAGGUUAAGAGGAGUGGUUAGCUUCUGCGAAGCUACGAAUCGAAGCCCCAGUAAACGGCGGCCGUAACUAUAACGGUCCUAAGGUAGCGAAAUUCCUUGUCGGGUAAGUUCCGACCCGCACGAAAGGCGUAACGAUUUGGGCACUGUCUCAACGAGAGACUCGGUGAAAUCAUAGUACCUGUGAAGAUGCAGGUUACCCGCGACAGGACGGAAAGACCCCGUGGAGCUUUACUGUAGCCUGAUAUUGAAAUUCGGCACAGCUUGUACAGGAUAGGUAGGAGCCUUUGAAACGUGAGCGCUAGCUUACGUGGAGGCGCUGGUGGGAUACUACCCUAGCUGUGUUGGCUUUCUAACCCGCACCACUUAUCGUGGUGGGAGACAGUGUCAGGCGGGCAGUUUGACUGGGGCGGUCGCCUCCUAAAAGGUAACGGAGGCGCUCAAAGGUUCCCUCAGAAUGGUUGGAAAUCAUUCAUAGAGUGUAAAGGCAUAAGGGAGCUUGACUGCGAGACCUACAAGUCGAGCAGGGUCGAAAGACGGACUUAGUGAUCCGGUGGUUCCGCAUGGAAGGGCCAUCGCUCAACGGAUAAAAGCUACCCCGGGGAUAACAGGCUUAUCUCCCCCAAGAGUUCACAUCGACGGGGAGGUUUGGCACCUCGAUGUCGGCUCAUCGCAUCCUGGGGCUGUA